UGGAUGGCUCUGGAGACCGAAGUCCUGUUUUUAUCCACAAAAUAGAUUUAGCAUGAGAAACAAAAGUACAAGCUUCUCCAUGCUGCCCCACCAGUGUGUCUCAAUUUUCAUCUGGCGCAAUUACCUCUAUGGAGAACGAACAGUGGUAUUUAGUCUUAGAUGCAGUCCAAUCAAUCCUUGGCCUUU
RNAcentral lists this small RNA (186 nucleotides) under Gopherus agassizii (Agassiz's desert tortoise). Its description in RNAcentral is "TUC338 (ENSGAGG00000005428.1)". The record is from RNAcentral. Lineage: Eukaryota; Metazoa; Chordata; Testudines; Testudinidae.